Molecule: non-coding RNA, 407 nt
Organism: Scomber scombrus (Atlantic mackerel)
Lineage: Eukaryota; Metazoa; Chordata; Actinopteri; Scombriformes; Scombridae
Source: the annotation of a RefSeq genome assembly
CAGAAGCCACAGAAAUCCUCCUCAUCAAAAACAUGACUUUGAUCUCCGUCCUCAUCUGGACUAUCCUCUGCUGCUGCUUCACAGAGUCCAGAGGCCAGUUCACAGCGACUCAGCCUGCAGCAGUGAGAUCUGAUCUGAGAGGAUCUGCAACCAUCAGCUGUAAGACCAGUCAGACUGUCCACCAGUCUGACUCUGUGGAGUGGUAUCAACAUAAACAUGGAGUAGCUCCUAAACUGCUCAUUUACUGGUCUAACCGUAGAGCAUCAGGCAUUCCAGAUCGUUUUACAGGCAGCGGAUCAAACAUGGCCUUCACUCUGACCAUCAGUGGAGUUCAGGCUGAAGAUGCAGCAGUUUAUUUCUGUAUAGGCCGAAUCUAUCCCAACAGUCAGCAUGUGUUCACACAGUGA